CUAUUAUCCUUUUAGCUAAUGGCGAAAUUACCAUUUUUACUCUGCCAGAUAGUUAUUCUUUUGGUAAUAGAAACACUAACCUUUUUUCUCCCUAGGGAUUUAUUAGUAAGCACGUGUAAUCUUUGGCAAAAGGGAACCUGAAAAUGCAUUUCCCUGGGGACCUGGCGCCAGUCGAUGCCUUUCAGCCUGCGGCUGACCUUGGAGACGCAGAAAAGCAGGAUUCCAGGACACAUUUACGACCGUCAUAAUUGGAGAGACAGCCCUGCCCCUCCAAGGCCACCCUGCAGGCUUUGUCUACCAGGCACUUCCUCCUCUCUCCCAGGAAGCACGUGUGACUCUAACACUCCCUUGCGCUCCCACGUUGCCUCUUGGAGAUUCUGGGGGAGAAGGCGGUU
RNAcentral lists this long non-coding RNA (395 nucleotides) under Bos indicus x Bos taurus (hybrid cattle). Its description in RNAcentral is "lncRNA (ENSBIXG00005027796.1)". The record is from RNAcentral. Lineage: Eukaryota; Metazoa; Chordata; Mammalia; Artiodactyla; Bovidae.